ACAGAGGUGGCAAGCGUUGUUCGGAAUUACUGGGCUUAAAGGGCGCGUAGGUGGUGGCAUAAGUCCGAGGUGGAAGGCUAAGGCUUAACCUUAGAAUUGCCUUGGAAACUGUAUCACUUGAGUCAGCGAGGGGAUGGCGGAAUUCCAGGUGUAGCGGUGAAAUGCGUAGAUAUCUGGAGGAAGGCCGGUGGCGAAGGCGGCCAUCUGGCGCUGAACUGACACUGAGGCGCGAAAGCGUGGGGAGCAAACAGGAUUAGAUACCCUGGUAGUCCACGCCCUAAACGGUGGGUACUAGGUGUAGGGCUCGCAAGGGUUCUGUGCCGUAGGGAAACCAUUAAGUACCCCGCCUGGGGAGUACGGCCGCAAGGUUG
RNAcentral lists this ribosomal RNA (371 nucleotides) under uncultured bacterium. RNAcentral's name for it is "bacterial SSU rRNA". It matches the Rfam family "Bacterial small subunit ribosomal RNA", at positions 525 to 896 of the family's 1533-position model. The record is from RNAcentral.